Molecule: long non-coding RNA, 3916 nt
Organism: Mustela erminea (ermine)
Lineage: Eukaryota; Metazoa; Chordata; Mammalia; Carnivora; Mustelidae
Exons: 3
Source: RefSeq, a predicted model, not a curated record
UCCUGAUUUUCAGCAGGCCACCUCCUGCUGAGUCCUCACUUGGGAGAGAGGAGCGAGGGACAGAGGGAGAGAGAGAGAGAGAGAGUGGGAGAGAGUGGGAGAGAACUUAAACUCUGGCUUCUUUUCCUUUUCCUGUAAGGACACUAAUUCCAUCACGGGGGCCCACCCUCAGGACCUCAUCUAACCUAAUUACCCCCCAGAGUCCUCACCGCCAAAUACCAUCACACUGGGGGUUAGGGCCUUCAACAUGAAUUUGGGGGAUAAAAACAUUCAGUCUAUAACUCUCUUAGAUCAUACAUGUUUAUCGAGUGCCUGUUGGGUACCAGAUGCUGGGGUUUCCAACAAGAACCAGAUGGGAGCUAUCGUGAGCGCCUUCCCGGUCCAGCGGGUGAGACACAGUGCCCUGGAAUUUACAAACUAGGCUGAUAAGCGCUGUGAUGUGAUCAUGGAACACAGGGAAAUGAGCACAGACGUGGAGAGUCAUGAGAGUUAAUGAAGCCAAUGGAAGCGACAUCUAGGUUGAUGCCAGGCCGACUUGAUUGGGAGACAAAAAGUAGGGGAAAGUGUCUAAAAAGGACAGCAUGUGCAAAGAGCUGGAGGCAGGACCUUUGGGGAACUGACAGCACCACAUUCAUGUACCGGUGGGCUGUAGAGGGUAGAGGAAGGGGAGGGAGAGAUGAACCUAAAAGGAAAGAAGGAGCAUGAUCAUGAAGAUUCCUCCUUGAUUUAAAAACUUUCAGUGAUUUCCCUUUACCUAACAGGACACAAAAUCCAGCUUCAGAGAGCCGCAUUCAGUGUUUCUCACAGCGUCAGACCUCUUUCAAAUAACAGCAGUUUCUCUGAUGCUAGUUUAAUAACAACAGCAAAGCAAUUAGUUCAUGUCACUGAAAAGUUUCAGCUUCAGGCAUGGUUGGAUCCAGAUGCUCAGAUGGUAUUGUCUGGAUCUGGAUCUCAUUCGUUCCCACUCAGGACAUUUGCAUUUGUUGUCCCCUUUGCUAGGAUGGCCUAACUUUCAGAUCUCCUCAUGGCUGACUCAUUCAGAUCUCAGCUGAAAUGUCACCUCAGCAGAGAGAUUUCCUUGGCCAUUAACUAAAGCAGGACCUUCCCACCCCAGCCGGCUUCGGCCCCGUCAGCCUACCCUUUGUUCUUUGCAGCAGCCAUAAUUAUCUGAAGAUGUCCUGCUGAUUUAUUACCUUUUUACUGAUCUCUCAUUUGGCCUGACCGCCCACACAGAAUAUAAGCAGUCCAAGAUCAGGGGUGGCGUUUGCCCUGGCUCACAGCCCAGUGAGUCUCCAAGGCUGACAACAGUGUAUGGUCGACACCAGUGAUGUUUUUACAGAGUGAAUGGACGAACGAAUGACCGAAUCCGUGCGUGCAUCUCUCUCUCUCCAUCUCGCAGCUUUCCCUUCUUCUCUGGGCCUGAGAUCACCAGCACUGCCAGCUGUAGUCCUACCAGCUGAGAAACACCAGUGGAAAACUAGCCGGGUUCUCUGUAGUUGGGGCAGGAGGCCCCAGAAUGACUCCGAUUGGCCCAGCCCAGUCACACAGCAUCAUCCCUGCCCCAAUCACUGUGGCCGGUGGGAGGGAUAUGGGUCUCUCAUUGGCCAGGACUGGCCCCCCUCUGGCCCAAACCUCGAGGAGGCAGGUUGAGUUUGGGGAGGGAGGAGCGGGUGCCACCACACUGAGUAAGGCCAGCAAGGUGUUUGGGCCGCGGCUUCCACCUUCCAAGCAUCUAAUUGUCGCCUGAACAUGCUGCCUUCUUUCUAGCUAGAGGCCAAAUCCCAGCCCCUGCCUCUGCCCUUCCUGUUCCCCAUGUCCGGAAUGUUCUUCCCUGCGAUCUCCUUUGCAGCCCAGUUCUGCUCUCACCUCCUUCAGGAAGCCUUCCUAGAUGCCCGCAAUCCCAGGGGCCACCCCGGCAGCCCUUGGAUUCCUUGUCGGUGGGCACUCGGCGGCUUGCUGAUGGGAUCGGCAACCACCUAGGGGCAGGAGUGCUACGGAGUCCUCUUGCGGCACAGGCUGACCUCGGUGAUGGGCAUGCGGCGAGAGCCGUUGCUAGGCCCGGCAGUGUGCAGAGCCCCCUACCCCUUGUGCUGAUACCCCAGGCAAGUGCAGGCCUGGGGAAGGUCUGAGGAAGCGAUGAGGGAGCGGAGGCGGGUGACCGUGCUGUGCUGGGUGCGCAGCAGCCGGAGCCAGGCUCUGGGCCCGGCACCCGCGGGCAUGAGCUGUUUAACCUUGGGCACUUCUCCAGUCUUGGCUCAGAAUGGCCACAGAACGCAGAAUGCAACGAACACGAGCUGAGCCGACCCACCCCGGAACCCUCCAGGAUGGACCAGAUGGUCCUUACCCUGGGGUUGGGGGCGCCCAGCUCGCCCCUGCGCCCCGGGGCCAUCCUCCUCUACCAGAAAAUCUCCCGUUCUCUGCCCUGCAGAGAAUUCAGGGGACGGUGGAGCUCUUCCCCAGCCCAGGCUCCCUGCCAGGAGCCGCAGGCACCCGAGGUGGCGGAGUCCCGCUGGCAAACGCAGCGUAUGGCAGUGCCCUGCGGGCCGGCAACCCCACCCCCCGGGCGCCCCCGCGCUUCCAAUUAACCAGAGCGCCGCACGGUGGCGCUCGUUCCCCCUUUUCUCCAGACGAAACCCAGCCUGGAGACCCGUGGGUCCGUCCGUCCGUCCGUCCGUCCACCUAAGUACUGCUUAAAUCCCAAGAGUGAUAUAUGGUCGGAGAAUGAAGAAAACGAGAGGAUGUCCAACUCUCCAGUCACUGGAGUGAAAUGGAAGCAUCGUACUGGCCUCCAGACCUAGGAUUGCAGCCAGGUCUUGACACCCACCAGCUGCAGGACCUUGAACAGGCACUACUAGCCUCCCGUGAGCCUCAGACUUUACAUCUGUGAAAUGGGGCUAAGGAUAAUGCUUCCUUGGAGUUGUUGUAGGGACACAGCCAGGAGCAGAAACAGGGCAGGGUCAGCCUGAUUGCUACCAGGUGGGCAGUGCUAAUUUACAUGGUGGUUGAUUAUUAAUGAAACACCUGACAUUUGGUUACUGCCCUGUCCACUCCUGAGGACUUCCUGGUCUGUGUCCCCUGGAUGCUCGCAGGACACUCACCCAGAGGCUGCAGACAGGACGAGAGCUUUGGGACCAUCAACCUGGGCCAGAGAGGGUGGAGGGGAUUCACAAGCCUGCCCUUGGCGUCUGCGGGAGCAUUUCAUCACUUGGAAUUACUGGGCAGAUGAUGGGAAACAGAGAACCCACCCCCAGCAGUGCUGGGCACCGUGACCAAGUCCACGCAGCUGUGAGGGCGAUCCUUCGCUCAUCCGCUCUGGAACCAUCCAGCAGGCAGGCUACACCUUACAGAAUCCGCAGGAGACAGGCUCCUGGGGCUUUUGCUCUGUUUAUAUCUGUUUUGCAUAUGCCGGCUACCUCCAUGGACGUGCCAGCUACCUUUGUCUCCGCCUAAGAAAGUGAUCUAGAUGCCAGGCUGAGGGGGGCAACCGCGUGCCCUCGUGACUCGGACAGUACGUCCUUGAACGGAGGGACGGCCAUGCACUUCUGCACGUUCACCGGUUUGCAGAUUUAAGAGGACGCACAGGCCUCCUUGGGAAAGCGGGAAAGCGUUCUUCCUGCCCGGAUGCGGCCGCUCCACUGCUGGGCGUACACCUGAAAGCAUCCGAAGGAGGGACUCAAAGAGCUGUUUGUACUCAACGUUCACAGCCGAAGUGUUCACAGCAAUCCAGUCGGGGAAGCGACCCAUGUGUCUACUGACGAGUACAGCAAUAACCAGUCUGGGGUGGCCCAGUCGGUGAAGCCUCUGCUUUCAGCCCAGGUCAUGAGCUCAGAGUCCUGGGAUCGAGCCCAUCGGGCCUGCUCAACAGGGGGUCUGUCUCAGGUCUUCUCCCUCUCCCUCUGGCCCCCCCACCUCUCUA